UCCCUCAUUCGCUCAGUAGUCAGUGUAGAUCCUGUCCCUUUCAAUCAGCAGCUACAUCUGGCUACUGGGUCUCUGAUGGCAUCU
This is a non-coding RNA of Sarcophilus harrisii (Tasmanian devil), 84 nucleotides long. The record is from Rfam. NCBI's taxonomy places the organism in Eukaryota, Metazoa, Chordata, Mammalia, Dasyuromorphia, Dasyuridae.